CACCUCCGGUGGAAGUGCUCUAAGAGAGUUGUCAUAACCACGAAAACUCUUCUUGUCAUGGUAAAAAGUGACCACAAUCCGAAAAUGAAGAUAGUUAACAAAUUAGGGGGAAACUUGAAGAAAAAUAAAGAGAAUUGACUGCAAGUUGUAUUACUAUUGAACUUAAAGUUAAAGACAAAAGUGUGCUUCAAAUAUAUUUUUCUUUAUUGUUCUCUCUAGAGGUUAGGUUUUUAAGUUCUACCCCAAGACCCGAAGUCUUGAAUAAUCAUGAUCUAUUUAAAAGGGAAGGUGUUUAAAUUCUUGAGAAAGAUUGAUCAUAAAACUUGCUGUCAGCUAUCUAAUGCAAACAAGCAUUUUAAACUUUUUGGGCUACGAUUCAAUCUCAUUAAAAACCAAAGGAAAAUUUCAACUUGGAUCAUGUUUUUUCUUGGAAUGACUACCAUUUUGUCAUCAAAACAUUGUCUACAUCUCUUCCCAAUUUUCCUCUUUUUUUUUUUUUCCUCUCUUCUUUUGCUAUUAUGUGACACAUAAUAUAUGAAAAAUAUUCUUUUAUUGAGAUUGUAAAUUAAACUAUUAGUUAAAAUAUAUUUAAAUAUAGUUCAGAUUCAUAAUAUUGGACCACAAAAUCACUGCCAGAGAGAUUACCUACAUAUUAUACCUAACACAAUAUAAAGUAAGAUUUAUUAUAUUUUACCCUGAAAGCCAGAAGCCUAUUCCUAAAUACUGUGUAAACGCGGCAGAAUGUAAGAAAGAAGUCACUUGCGUGGCUAACUGGGAUCUUGAACUUGGCGCAAAUUUUGUGCAGAAGAGUUAGCUGCAGCGGAAAUGAAUCAUCUUCGGAUCCCUUUAUUCUAAUCUACAAAAUCAGAGGAUCUGUACCAUUGAAAUUUGAUCUAAUGGCUACAAACAUGGGUCAACUUUAAAAGUUAUAAUAACUUUAGCCGUUGAAUCAAAUUUCAAUGACACGAAUUUCCUAAUUUGGUGAAUUAAGAGGAAGGGAUC
RNAcentral lists this long non-coding RNA (1002 nucleotides) under Malus domestica (apple). RNAcentral describes it as "long non-coding RNA (MDOM_LNC016280)". Lineage: Eukaryota; Viridiplantae; Streptophyta; Magnoliopsida; Rosales; Rosaceae. The record is from RNAcentral.